Molecule: regulatory RNA element, 165 nt
Organism: Roseburia sp. CAG:45
Lineage: Bacteria; Bacillati; Bacillota; Clostridia; Lachnospirales; Lachnospiraceae
Source: Rfam
UGAUAAGGGCUGUUAGGGGCGCUGGGAAUUUCGUCUGGCAACAGGCAACGCUGGUACAUGGAUGUACCAGCGAGGCACAACUGAACAUGGAUGUGAAUUUGUGCCGGUUGCCAGAUGAAAAUAGAAUUAUGCCGAAAUUUCCAGUGCCCCUUGCAGGCUUUAUGU